GAUGAACGCUGGCGGCGUGCCUAAUACAUGCAAGUCGAGCGAACAGAUGAGGAGCUUGCUCCUCUGACGUUAGCGGCGGACGGGUGAGUAACACGUGGAUAACCUACCUAUAAGACUGGGAUAACUUCGGGAAACCGGAGCUAAUACCGGAUAAUAUAUUGAACCGCAUGGUUCAAUAGUGAAAGACGGUUUUGCUGUCCCUUAUAGAUGGAUCCGCGCCGCAUUAGCUAGUUGGUAAGGUAACGGCUUACCAAGGCAACGAUGCGUAGCCGACCUGAGAGGGUGAUCGGCCACACUGGAACUGAGACACGGUCCAGACUCCUACGGGAGGCAGCAGUAGGGAAUCUUCCGCAAUGGGCGAAAGCCUGACGGAGCAACGCCGCGUGAGUGAUGAAGGUCUUCGGAUCGUAAAACUCUGUUAUUAGGGAAGAACAAAUGUGUAAGUAACUAUGCACGUCUUGACGGUACCUAAUCAGAAAGCAACGGCUAACUACGUG
This 497-nucleotide ribosomal RNA is filed under the name uncultured bacterium. RNAcentral's name for it is "partial 16S ribosomal RNA". It matches the Rfam family "Bacterial small subunit ribosomal RNA", at positions 28 to 507 of the family's 1533-position model. The record is from RNAcentral.